GGUUCAAAGGGCACAUAAUUAUUGUUCCAAAUAGAGCACAGAACAUACAUAAAGCAAGUACGUAUCAGAAGAAGAAGCACUGAAGAAAGAAGAGCUCAGGAACAAUGGCCCACCUGACACUAAUUGCCAGAGCCAGUGAUGGACUACCUCUGUCCUCAUCCAUUGUCAAUGAAGAGUCUGGCCGGGAUUAUGCUGAAUACCAACCCAAGGCCAAGCAGAUAUUCCGCAAGCUGUCGUCAGUCAGCCCCCCUCGAUGCUCAAUCGAGUGUGACCCGGGUCGUAUGGUGUUCCACUACAUCCUUGAGGAGGGGAUAUGCUACCUCGCCCUGUGUGACCCCACCUAUCCUGCCAAGCUGGCCUUUAACUACCUCGAGAAUCUACACAAAGACUUCAGUGAGCAACAUGGCAACGAUGUACACAAGAUCUCAGUGACAAAGCGGGGAAGCUGGUCGACCACUCUCGUGUGCCAGAGGCUAAUGGCUGAUCAGCUGAUGCAGCAUGUGAGCAUCUCCUGGCUACUGUGGAUUGGUUCUGGACUGCUAGUUCAUGCUCUUGUCUAUUGGAGACAAUAUCUGCCAAGUUUCACCAGAGAUGUGUACAAGUAUGGUAAGCUGAGGAGUGAGAGUGACUGGAGCUGGAUGAUCCCUAGUGUGCCCAAGACUCAAGGAGGUGGUUCACCCACUUCUACGUGUGGGGGGUGGUGUGAAACUACUCUGUAUUCCUCUACUAUACCAGCCACUGUCCACUGCACACACGACUACCGCUAUUGGGACCAACAGCACUGCUGCAUUUGAAUUCAUGUAUAGUCAUACCGUAUAGCGGGUAUUUUUCGGGGGACAAAAUAUUUGUUGUUUAGCAAUAUUGAGACAUUUCGUGGGUAAUAUUUUCGUGGUUGGAGCAGGUAAAGGUAGGCAAAGUCGCUUCAUUCGUGGUUAGAGGUCCAACCACGAACACCACAAAUAUUUUGCCCUACGAAAAUUACCCACCUCUGUACGGUAUUCAGUCUAGUAAUAGUCCUAUUCUCGUUUAAGAACCUGGAAUUUUGAUUGCUAUUUCAACGCCCACUAACUACUUCCUGUAUAGCUUCCGCAGUAAAAUUGUGCUGAGCUGGCACACCUUUUUACAUUGAAGUCAUUGUAAAAUCAAUGCCUUUUUGCAGCCUCUGCAUUCUGCAUAUGGAACGCCGUUUGCGACAAAAUUCAGGCAGAAUGUGAUAGGCGUGUGCAUCCAAUAUAAAAUCGAUUUUUAAUAAUCGAUUUUUUACAGUUGAUUUUCGAUUUAUACGUGAACGAUCUUUGACAAUCGAUCUGAUAAUCGAUUUUUGAAAUUCCAAUUUUGAUAAUCGAUUUUUGAUAAUCGAUUAUUGAAAUUCGAUUUUUGAUAAUCCAUUUUAGAACUGCUCUGAGGUGGGCUGGGGGGGCCCCCCCUGUCUAAAGCUGUAUCACGUGAGACUAUCCUUAGAGCAUUAAAGAAGCCACUAUUCAUGACUUCUAUUCUACACAUUUUAUGUAUCUGGAAUCACCAAACUCUUUCUCAGCUCUCUAAGCACACACAAGAUAGCCAAAUAAAACAGUGCUGGCGAGAAAGCAUACAAAAAUGGGUGCACAAAGGAACUAAAUAAGAUAGCAUCAACUGAACAGUUCUAAAAUUAAUGAUUUUUACUGUGACUUAUGGCCCUUCUUUUUUAUGGUUCCAAAAAACAAUAAUAUUUCGCUUUUGCGUUUAUAUAGUCUAUCAUGUGAGAUAGCUAACCAAGCCAAGCUUUGAUUCCAGGCCGCGGAGAAGGAGUUUGUGCAUGUUCUGAGUUUCAAGGGCGGCCUAACUGUAGCCUUGAAUCCAUUUUAAUCGGCCUGGAUUCGAGGCUAGUGUCAAUUCAAAAAUCGAUUAUCAAAAAUCGAAUUUCAAAAAUCGAUUAUCAGAUCGAUUGUCAAAGAUCGUUCACGUGUAAAUCGAAAAUCAACUGUAAAAAAUCGAUUAUUAAAAAUCGAUCUUCAAAAAUCGAUUUUAUAUUGGAUGCACACGCCUAUCAGAUUCUGCCUGAAUUUUGUCGCAAACGGCGUUCCAUAUCUGCAAUGCAUGCGCUAUUAUUCUAAAUAAAGGAAGUUUGUGAAAUAUUGAAGUAAGAGCUACACAAUGGUUUUUGUCCCAGAGAGUGUUUGUCAACUGUCAGUGAGCUAGCUGGUCUUGAAGAUACCUACUAUAUACACAACUCACCCCUUGCUGGCCUGAUUGUAGCCACUCUGUUGUUCCUCUGGGCCUACACACAUCAGUACCGAUGUCACGUCAUCCUUGCACAACUCAGAGCAGUCAAGAACAAGCCACAGUACGACGGCUGUCACUGCCAAGCAGACUCACGUUUCUAUAGACACAAGUUUGAGGACUAUCCAAACAACAGACAAAUUAUUGUUAUGACCAUUUGUUUAUUAGUUUCUAAUAUAAUUUAUGCUAUGUACAUGCAGUACUGUAUGGUAUCAUUCAUAUUCUCCAAUCAAUAAUCUAUCAAAUUAAUGAUAGAAAAAACUAAUUUUGAAUUUGCAGUGAAUAAUAAUUGACGCUUCUUA
This is an RNA transcript of Halichondria panicea, 2561 nucleotides long. It is a transcript of the gene named vesicle-trafficking protein SEC22b-like, with no coding region annotated. The transcript has 6 exons. The record is from RefSeq and is a predicted model, not a curated record. NCBI's taxonomy places the organism in Eukaryota, Metazoa, Porifera, Demospongiae, Suberitida, Halichondriidae.